This 935-nucleotide ribosomal RNA is filed under the name Escherichia coli. RNAcentral describes it as "partial 23S ribosomal RNA". It matches the Rfam family "Bacterial large subunit ribosomal RNA", at positions 296 to 1239 of the family's 2925-position model. Lineage: Bacteria; Pseudomonadati; Pseudomonadota; Gammaproteobacteria; Enterobacterales; Enterobacteriaceae. The record is from RNAcentral.
AGCCCAGAGCCUGAAUCAGUGUGUGUGUUAGUGGAAGCGUCUGGAAAGGCGCGCGAUACAGGGUGACAGCCCCGUACACAAAAAUGCACAUACUGUGAGCUCGAUGAGUAGGGCGGGACACGUGGUAUCCUGUCUGAAUAUGGGGGGACCAUCCUCCAAGGCUAAAUACUCCUGACUGACCGAUAGUGAACCAGUACCGUGAGGGAAAGGCGAAAAGAACCCCGGCGAGGGGAGUGAAAAAGAACCUGAAACCGUGUACGUACAAGCAGUGGGAGCACAGAGCAAUCUGUGUGACUGCGUACCUUUUGUAUAAUGGGUCAGCGACUUAUAUUCUGUAGCAAGGUUAACCGAAUAGGGGAGCCGAAGGGAAACCGAGUCUUAACCGGGCGUUAAGUUGCAGGGUAUAGACCCGAAACCCGGUGAUCUAGCCAUGGGCAGGUUGAAGGUUGGGUAACACUAACUGGAGGACCGAACCGACUAAUGUUGAAAAAUUAGCGGAUGACUUGUGGCUGGGGGUGAAAGGCCAAUCAAACCGGGAGAUAGCUGGUUCUCCCCGAAAGCUAUUUAGGUAGCGCCUCGUGAAUUCAUCUCCGGGGGUAGAGCACUGUUUCGGCAAGGGGGUCAUCCCGACUUACCAACCCGAUGCAAACUGCGAAUACCGGAGAAUGUUAUCACGGGAGACACACGGCGGGUGCUAACGUCCGUCGUGAAGAGGGAAACAACCCAGACCGCCAGCUAAGGUCCCAAAGUCAUGGUUAAGUGGGAAACGAUGUGGGAAGGCCCAGACAGCCAGGAUGUUGGCUUAGAAGCAGCCAUCAUUUAAAGAAAGCGUAAUAGCUCACUGGUCGAGUCGGCCUGCGCGGAAGAUGUAACGGGGCUAAACCAUGCACCGAAGCUGCGGCAGCGACACUGUGUGUUGUUGGGUAGGGGAGCGU